GAUCAUGGCUCAGAUUGAACGCUGGCGGCAUGCUUUACACAUGCAAGUCGAACGGCAGCAUGAGGAGCUUGCUCCUUGAUGGCGAGUGGCGCACGGGUGAGUAAGACAUCGGAACGCGUCCUUUUGUGGGGGAUAACUGUCCGAAAGGACAGCUAAUACCGCAUAAGACCUGAGGGUGAAAGCGGGGGAUCGCAAGACCUCGCGCGAAAGGAGCGGCCGAUGGCCGAUUAG
This 231-nucleotide ribosomal RNA is filed under the name uncultured bacterium. RNAcentral's name for it is "partial 16S ribosomal RNA". It matches the Rfam family "Bacterial small subunit ribosomal RNA", at positions 15 to 244 of the family's 1533-position model. The record is from RNAcentral.